GCCUAACACAUGCAAGUCGAGCGGUAGCACAGGGAGCUUGCUCCUGGGUGACGAGCGGCGGACGGGUGAGUAAUGUCUGGGAAACUGCCUGAUGGAGGGGGAUAACUACUGGAAACGGUAGCUAAUACCGCAUAACGUCGCAAGACCAAAGAGGGGGACCUUCGGGCCUCUUGCCAUCAGAUGUGCCCAGAUGGGAUUAGCUAGUAGGUGGGGUAAUGGCUCACCUAGGCGACGAUCCCUAGCUGGUCUGAGAGGAUGACCAGCCACACUGGAACUGAGACACGGUCCAGACUCCUACGGGAGGCAGCAGUGGGGAAUAUUGCACAAUGGGCGCAAGCCUGAUGCAGCCAUGCCGCGUGUAUGAAGAAGGCCUUCGGGUUGUAAAGUACUUUCAGCGAGGAGGAAGGCAUAAAGCUUAAUACGCUUUGUGAUUGACGUUACUCGCAGAAGAAGCACCGGCUAACUCCGUGCCAGCAGCCGCGGUAAUACGGAGGGUGCAAGCGUUAAUCGGAAUUACUGGGCGUAAAGCGCACGCAGGCGGUUUGUUAAGUCAGAUGUGAAAUCCCCGGGCUCAACCUGGGAACUGCAUUUGAAACUGGCAAGCUUGAGUCUUGUAGAGGGGGGUAGAAUUCCAGGUGUAGCGGUGAAAUGCGUAGAGAUCUGGAGGAAUACCGGUGGCGAAGGCGGCCCCCUGGACAAA
This 700-nucleotide ribosomal RNA is filed under the name Cedecea sp. RNAcentral's name for it is "bacterial SSU rRNA". It matches the Rfam family "Bacterial small subunit ribosomal RNA", at positions 46 to 737 of the family's 1533-position model. Lineage: Bacteria; Pseudomonadati; Pseudomonadota; Gammaproteobacteria; Enterobacterales; Enterobacteriaceae. The record is from RNAcentral.